Non-coding RNA from Pelobates cultripes (western spadefoot toad), 386 nucleotides. NCBI's taxonomy places the organism in Eukaryota, Metazoa, Chordata, Amphibia, Anura, Pelobatidae. The record is from the annotation of a GenBank genome assembly.
CGUUAAAGAUGGCCCUGGUGGUAGUCGAGACCACUAUGGAAAUAAUUUUGGCAUGAGGACUUCGUAGGUUCCUGGACAACUUGGUCUGGGGUUUUGAACCACUUUGCAACCCGCCAGGAGAGCAUUUUUUGGAGGGAAGGUUCCUGAGAAUAAGGGAAACAAACGCUCCCUGAGAACCAGGUGGAGCACCCCGUAUUGCAGACACAGGAGCUCCCAAAAGUUGACCAGCAAAAGCGCCAAACGCCUUGGAACUAUUUUGGGCAUAGAACCUCGUGUGCGACCGGUCUGAACUUUGACACGUUUUUAUUAUGUUUUGGGGUACUUUUAUGUUUUUAUAUUUUUGUGUUUGUGUCUCUGUUCCUGGGAGAUAAUCAGCUUACCGGUCU